This 469-nucleotide long non-coding RNA is filed under the name Equus caballus (horse). RNAcentral describes it as "lncRNA (ENSECAG00000044637.1)". The record is from RNAcentral. Lineage: Eukaryota; Metazoa; Chordata; Mammalia; Perissodactyla; Equidae.
CACACCAAGGAAUGUGAUUGCUGGAUCCUAUGCAGCGAUGAAUGAGAGUUCCUGUUGCUCCAGAUCCUCUCCAGUAUUUGUGUUGUCAGUGUUCUGGAUUUUGGCCAUUCUAAUAGUGCUCACUGAGACGCAUUCAUUCUGCUUCAAAAUGGCAUCAGUCACGGGAAGGUUAAAGGACUCUUCCAGGCUUCACAGGGCAGCCUUUUAUUUCUGCUCCUGGGAGGUAGGAACAGGCUGAUCACAGGUGGGAAACACACCUACAGGAUAUACGUCAUCACUGACAGAAGAAAAAAGCAGUGAAAGACACUGGAGUCCAGCAUGCCUGAAGGCCAACAUUUCUAAACCCCCUCCUUACUGCCCAUUUUCCCUAUGUAACUGCUUCAAGAUUCUGUAAUCCUGGAAGAUGGUUUUCUUGUGACGUGAGUCUGCCAUCUUCCUGAUUAUGCUGGCUAAUCGAAUUAAAGCUUCC